Long non-coding RNA from Nerophis ophidion (straightnose pipefish), 1134 nucleotides. RefSeq lists it as uncharacterized. The record is from RefSeq and is a predicted model, not a curated record. The transcript is spliced from 2 exons. NCBI's taxonomy places the organism in Eukaryota, Metazoa, Chordata, Actinopteri, Syngnathiformes, Syngnathidae.
GACAGGUUCUUUAACAUACACUGAAGUUUAAAGGCCUACUGAAACCCACUACUACCCACCACGCAGUCUGAUGGUUUAUAUAUCAAUGAUAAAAUAUUAACAUUGCAACACAUGCCAAUACGGCCUUUUCAGUUGUCGUCUUCAAAACGUCGUGUAAUGAUGACGUGUACGCAAGACGUCACGGGUUUUUAGGGAAUAUGCACACACACAGCUAAAAAUUGUCUGCUUUAACCGCAUAAUUACACAGUAUUUUGGAGAUCUAUGUUGCUGAAUCUUUUGCAAUUUGUUCAAUUAAUAAUGGAGAAGUCAAAGUAGAAAGAUGGAGUUGGGAAGCUUUAGCCUUUAGCCAAACAAACACACGGUGAUUCCUUGUUUAAAAUUCCUGGAGGUGAAACUUUACUAUGGAUCAGAGCGCAGUCAAGAGAACAUGAAUCACGAAGGAAUGUCAACCAGCAGGUUUCGGUGAGAAAAUUGUGGUAAAAAGUCGCUUCUUACUGGAGAUCAGCUGAGCUUGUGCCGUCCAUAGCUGCCGUCGACUCCCCUGAGACACAUGGCGUCAAAACACCCGUGAACACACACCUCCGACUAUCAGAGGGAGUCCGGUCCGGUGGCCAUGGAUGAAGUGCUGGCUGUCCAGACUCGCCUGUGUAUCGGCUGGGGACAUCUCUGCGCUGCUGACCUGUUUUCGCUUGGGAUGGUCUCCUGCUGGCUCCACUAUGGACAGGACUCUCGCUAUUAUAUUAGAUCCACUAUGGACUGAACUUUCACUGUUAUGUUAGAUCCACUAUGGACUGGACUUUCAUAAUAUCAUGUUAGACUCGCUCAACAUCCAAGGUUUCUCAUAGUCAUUGUCAUCAACAUUCCAGUGGGGUUAGUUUUUCCUUGCCCUUAUGUGGGCUCUGUACUGCGGAUGUUGUUGCGGCUUGUGCAGCCCUUUGAGACACUUGUGAUUUAGGGCUAUAUGAAUAAACAUUGAUUGAUUGAUAAAAUAAUAACCAUUUUAAUGGAAAAGAUGCUCAGCUUUGAUGGAGACUGUCUGCAAGGGUUUCAUUAGACAGUAUCAUGAUUAUUAAGAUGAAAUCUAACUUCAGACAUUCAUUAAAAAACUGGCAAUUUUAAAGCCCCACUUAACAA